GUGCUCGCUUCAGCAGCACAUACACUAAAAUUGGAACGAUACAAAGAAGAUUAGCAUGGCCCCUGUGUAAAGGUGACAUGCAAAUUCGUGAAGCGUUCCAUAUUUUU
This is a small nuclear RNA of Herpailurus yagouaroundi (jaguarundi), 107 nucleotides long. The record is from RefSeq and is a predicted model, not a curated record. Lineage: Eukaryota; Metazoa; Chordata; Mammalia; Carnivora; Felidae.